UACGGAGGGUGCAAGCGUUAUCCGGAUUUACUGGGUUUAAAGGGUGCGUAGGUGGGCAGGUAAGUCAGUGGUGAAAUCUUCAAGCUUAACUUGGAAACUGCCAUUGAUACUAUUUGUCUUGAAUUAUCUGGAGGUAAGCGGAAUAUGUCAUGUAGCGGUGAAAUGCUUAGAUAUGACAUAGAACACCCAUUGCGAAGGCAGCUUACUACGGAUAUAUUGACACUGAGGCACGAAAGCGUGGGGAGCAAACAGG
This 253-nucleotide ribosomal RNA is filed under the name uncultured bacterium. Its description in RNAcentral is "partial 16S ribosomal RNA". It matches the Rfam family "Bacterial small subunit ribosomal RNA", at positions 524 to 776 of the family's 1533-position model. The record is from RNAcentral.